RNAcentral lists this ribosomal RNA (549 nucleotides) under uncultured bacterium. RNAcentral describes it as "bacterial SSU rRNA". It matches the Rfam family "Bacterial small subunit ribosomal RNA", at positions 59 to 624 of the family's 1533-position model. The record is from RNAcentral.
AAGUCGAGCGAGAAUCUGUGGAUUGAGGCUUCGGCCGAUUGAAGCAGAGGAAAGCGGCGAAAGGGAGAGUAACACGUAGAUACGUACCCUUGGGUUCGGAAUAGCGGGGGGAAACCGCCGGUAAUGCCGAAUGAUGUCUCCGGACCAAAGAUUUAUCGCCCAAGGAGCGGUCUGCGUCCUAUUAGGUUGUUGGUGGGGUAAUGGCUCACCAAGCCAAAGAUGGGUAGCGGGCGUGAGAGCGUGGCCCGCCUCACUGGGACUGAGACACUGCCCAGACACCUACGGGUGGCUGCAGUCGAGAAUCUUCCGCAAUGGACGCAAGUCUGACGGAGCGACGCCGCGUGCGGGAUGAAGGCCUUCGGGUUGUAAACCGCUGUCAGAGGGGAGCAAAUUUUGAGCGAUCCUCAAAGGAAGUGCAGGCUAAGUUCGUGCCAGCAGCCGCGGUAAUACNAACUGCACAAACGUUAUUCGGAAUCACUGGGCUUUAAAGAGUCCGUAGGCGGAUUGGUAAGUCNGGUGUGAAAUCCCACGGCUCACCCGUGGAAUUGC